GACGAACGCUGGCGGCGUGCUUAACACAUGCAAGUCGAACGGUAAGGCUCCAGCUUGCUGGGGUACACGAGUGGCGAACGGGUGAGUAACACGUGGGUGACCUGCCCUGCACUUCGGGAUAAGCCUGGGAAACUGGGUCUAAUACCGGAUAGGACCGCACCGUGGGGGUGUGGUGGAAAGUUUUUUCGGUGUGGGAUGGGCCCGCGGCCUAUCAGCUUGUUGGUGGGGUAAUGGCCUACCAAGGCGGCGACGGGUAGCCGGCCUGAGAGGGUGGACGGCCACAUUGGGACUGAGACACGGCCCAGACUCCUACGGGAGGCAGCAGUGGGGAAUAUUGCACAAUGGGCGGAAGCCUGAUGCAGCGACGCCGCGUGGGGGAUGACGGCCUUCGGGUUGUAAACUCCUUUCACCAUCGACGAAGGGUUUCUGACGGUAGAUGGAGAAGAAGCACCGGCUAACUACGUGCCAGCAGCCGCGGUAAUACGUAGGGUGCGAGCGUUGUCCGGAAUUACUGGGCGUAAAGAGCUCGUAGGUGGUUUGUCGCGUCGUCUGUGAAAUUCCGGGGCUUAACUCCGGGCGUGCAGGCGAUACGGGCAUAACUUGAGUACUGUAGGGGAGACUGGAAUUCCUGGUGUAGCGGUGAAAUGCGCAGAUAUCAGGAGGAACACCGGUGGCGAAGGCGGGUCUCUGGGCAGUAACUGACGCUGAGGAGCGAAAGCAUGGGGAGCGAACAGGAUUAGAUACCCUGGUAGUCCAUGCCGUAAACGGUGGGCGCUAGGUGUGGGUUUCCUUCCACGGGAUCCGUGCCGUAGCUAACGCAUUAAGCGCCCCGCCUGGGGAGUACGGCCGCAAGGCUAAAACUCAAAGGAAUUGACGGGGGCCCGCACAAGCGGCGGAGCAUGUGGAUUAAUUCGAUGCAACGCGAAGAACCUUACCUGGGCUUGACAUAUACAGGAUCGCGCCAGAGAUGGUGUUUCCCUUGUGGCUUGUAUACAGGUGGUGCAUGGUUGUCGUCAGCUCGUGUCGUGAGAUGUUGGGUUAAGUCCCGCAACGAGCGCAACCCUUGUCUUAUGUUGCCAGCACGUUGUGGUGGGGACUCGUAAGAAACUGCCGGGGUUAGCUCGGAGGAAGGUGGGGAUGACGUCAAAUCAUCAUGCCCCUUAUGUCCAGGGCUUCACACAUGCUACAAUGGUCGGUACAGUGGGUUGCCAGUCCGUGAGGGCGAGCUAAUCCCGCAAAGCCGGUCUCAGUUCGGAUCGGGGUCUGCAACUCGACCCCGUGAAGUCGGAGUCGCUAGUAAUCGCAGAUCAGCAACGCUGCGGUGAAUACGUUCCCGGGCCU
This 1341-nucleotide ribosomal RNA is filed under the name uncultured bacterium. RNAcentral's name for it is "partial 16S ribosomal RNA". It matches the Rfam family "Bacterial small subunit ribosomal RNA", at positions 28 to 1381 of the family's 1533-position model. The record is from RNAcentral.